GUACAGGAUAGUGGUGCCCAGUAGUUUGUGGUGACUACUCAAGAUUUGGAUGCCCUUGCCGUGAGCCACUUCAAGCAUCUGCAGCAAUUUGACAGUUUCUCACUGUUGAUCUUGUUGGCUGCUGCUGCUGCUUGGAUAACUGACCUCAAAAGUCUUGGACAACUAAGGGUGACUGCUAGUAGCAGCUGGAUGACUACAAUGCAGCACUCCAGGAGAAGUAUCCAGAUAGUUGGCAAGAGAAACCUUUUGAUGGGCAGAUAGCAUAUGACGUUGAUGGUGGCUUGUCCAAUGGUCGUCUUGCAAUAGGAGAUGGUGCUGUCAAGAAGGGUCCAAUUAUUGAUUCUGCUAAGGCAAGUGAGAUAAGGCCAUCAACCUCAAGGUCUUACCAAAAUCUCUUCAGAAGGUAUGAGGAGGAAGUUCAGAACAACCGUCGCUUAACUCAACAAAAUGCAGUCUUGACUCGACAUGUGAAGCGGACGGAUCGUCUACUCGAGUUCAUUGCUAAAAAAGCCAACAUAGUUAUACCGCCUGACAUGCUUGUGGAGGAACAAAAUGACAUGAGAGAGACUGGAGAUGGAUCCUCCCAUGCUCCAACCUACUUGGACAACAAUAGUGACGGUCACUGAGUAGCCUUCUAUUGUGAUGAUAUCUGUUUUCAAGGCGUCGCUUGCGUCUAGGUGGUAAAAAAACCUGGGCGUCGGCGUCGCUUAGCCAUUCCUCGCCUUGCCGCCAUUCCAGAGCUGCGUCGUCGAGGGUCGGAGCCGCGCGCGCUGCCUCCUAUCCUUUCUCCUCCGGUCUUGCAUCGUGCGGACGUGGGCCUCCACCGGACAGAGAGAGUCUGCGGCCGGAAGAGGAGGCAGGGGUGGGCGGCGGAGGUGGAGGAUGUCAGACCCGGGGCAGCGGGACUGCUCACAGGCGUGGAACAUUCUAGAGUACGCGGGACUCCACCGGACAGAGAGAGUCCGC
Molecule: long non-coding RNA, 966 nt
Organism: Panicum virgatum (switchgrass)
Lineage: Eukaryota; Viridiplantae; Streptophyta; Magnoliopsida; Poales; Poaceae
Exons: 5
Source: RefSeq, a predicted model, not a curated record